Molecule: transfer RNA, 71 nt
Filed under: Marmota marmota marmota (Alpine marmot)
Lineage: Eukaryota; Metazoa; Chordata; Mammalia; Rodentia; Sciuridae
Also listed under: 1 other name
Rfam family: tRNA
About the family: Transfer RNA (tRNA) molecules are approximately 80 nucleotides in length.
Source: Rfam by way of RNAcentral
GGGGGCACAGUUCAGGGGUAGAGCAUUUGACUGCAAACCAAGGGUCCCUGGUGCAAAUCCAGGUGUCCCCU